This 578-nucleotide unclassified non-coding RNA is filed under the name Hevea brasiliensis (rubber tree). The record is from RNAcentral. Lineage: Eukaryota; Viridiplantae; Streptophyta; Magnoliopsida; Malpighiales; Euphorbiaceae.
GGUUUCUUCACAUGGCACUCUCUUUGCAAAAGCUCGACAGCAAGAACAUCUGAUGGAGAAGUGGCCAUCGAGAUGAUAUAAGCUCCAAAAUUAUCAGAAGGAAGUUCUGCUAUGACGUGGAAUGUAUCUAAAACAUCAGCAAUUUCCUCAGUUGUCGGCAGGUCAGGACCAAAUAAAGGGCGUUUUCCUCUAAGUUCAGAUAACAGCCAUUCCUGACGCCGUUCCUCAGACCAUUCACGGUAUGAUCCGAUCCCCAGAUGUGUAGUGAUGGCAUCCAUAACAUCGGUAUGUCUAUCAGAUUCUUGUCUAAUAUCCAAUCUCACAAGAGAGAGGCCGAAGGUUGAUACUUGACGCAGAAAGUCAAGAAGGCUUCCAUCAGCAAUAGCUCUAUCGCCACAUGCACAGAGUGAUCUAUAACAAAGCUCCAGCGGCUCCAAGAACUGCUCAAUAUUGGUGAAAGUUGCUUCCUCAGGAAUGUCAGAAUACCCAUUUGACAAUAAAUGACGGGAUCUCUCACGUGUGCUAUACAACUUAUCUCUCAAUUCGCCAAGUAUAACUCGAUAUGGUUCAUUCGAAGG